AAAUUGAAGAGUUUGAUCAUGGCUCAGAUUGAACGCUGGCGGCAGGCCUAACACAUGCAAGUCGAACGGUAACAGGAAGCAGCUUGCUGCUUCGCUGACGAGUGGCGGACGGGUGAGUAAUGUCUGGGAAACUGCCUGAUGGAGGGGGAUAACUACUGGAAACGGUAGCUAAUACCGCAUAACGUCGCAAGACCAAAGAGGGGGACCUUCGGGCCUCUUGCCAUCGGAUGUGCCCAGAUGGGAUUAGCUAGUAGGUGGGGUAACGGCUCACCUAGGCGACGAUCCCUAGCUGGUCUGAGAGGAUGACCAGCCACACUGGAACUGAGACACGGUCCAGACUCCUACGGGAGGCAGCAGUGGGGAAUAUUGCAC
Molecule: ribosomal RNA, 372 nt
Filed under: Escherichia coli
Lineage: Bacteria; Pseudomonadati; Pseudomonadota; Gammaproteobacteria; Enterobacterales; Enterobacteriaceae
Description: bacterial SSU rRNA
Rfam family: Bacterial small subunit ribosomal RNA
Source: RNAcentral